GCUGGCGGCGUGCUUAACACAUGCAAGUCGAACGGAAAGUGCCCAGCUUGCUGGGUGACUCGAGUGGCGAACGGGUGAGUAACACGUGGGUGAUCUGCCCUGCACUUUGGGAUAAGCCUGGGAAACUGGGUCUAAUACCGAAUAUUUCCUGCUGGUCGCAUGGCCUGGUGGGGGAAAGCUUUUGCGGUGUGGGAUGGGCCCGCGGCCUAUCAGCUUGUUGGUGGGGUGAUGGCCUACCAAGGCGACGACGGGUAGCCGGCCUGAGAGGGUGUCCGGCCACACUGGGACUGAGAUACGGCCCAGACUCCUACGGGAGGCAGCAGUGGGGAAUAUUGCACAAUGGGCGCAAGCCUGAUGCAGCGACGCCGCGUGAGGGAUGACGGCCUUCGGGUUGUAAACCUCUUUCAAUAGGGACGAAGGGUGACUGACGGUACCUACAGAAGAAGCACCGGCCAACUACGUGCCAGCAGCCGCGGUAAUACGUA
RNAcentral lists this ribosomal RNA (485 nucleotides) under uncultured soil bacterium. RNAcentral's name for it is "bacterial SSU rRNA". It matches the Rfam family "Bacterial small subunit ribosomal RNA", at positions 35 to 529 of the family's 1533-position model. The record is from RNAcentral.